AAAAAGACAAACCCUGGUUUUCGUGUCCAACAUUUAACCGUCCGUCUUAUUUGAAAAAGUUAUGAACAAAAUUAAAAAGAUAAGUCACGCAUAAAGUAUUAAUCAUGUUUUAUCAUCUAACAACAAUAAAAAUACUAAUUAUAAAAAAAUUUCAUAUAAGACGGACAGUCAAACGUUGGCACGGGAACCCACGGUUUGCCUUUUU
This 205-nucleotide microRNA precursor is filed under the name Oryza nivara. Its description in RNAcentral is "MIR812 microRNA precursor family". It matches the Rfam family "MIR812 microRNA precursor family". Lineage: Eukaryota; Viridiplantae; Streptophyta; Magnoliopsida; Poales; Poaceae. The record is from Rfam by way of RNAcentral.